AGAAUCAACGCUGGCGGCGUGCCUAACACAUGCAAGUCGCACGAGAAAGGGGCUUCGGCUCUGAGUAAAGUGGCGCACGGGUGAGUAACACGUGACUAACCUACCCUUGAGUGGGGAAUAACUUCGGGAAACCGAGGCUAAUACCGCAUAACACCUACGGGUCAAAGGAGCAAUUCGCUUAAGGAGGGGGUCGCGGCAGAUUAGUUAGUUGGCGGGGUAAUGGCCCACCAAGACGGUGAUCUGUAUCCGGCCUGAGAGGGCGCACGGACACACUGGAACUGAAACACGGUCCAGACUCCUACGGGAGGCAGCAGUGGGGAAUUUGCGCAAUGGGGGAAACCCUGACGCAGCAACGCCGCGUGGAGGAUGAAGUCCCUUGGGACGUAAACUCCUUUCGAUCGGGACGAUUAUGACGGUACCGGAAGAAGAAGCCCCGGCUAACUUCGCGCCAGCAGCCGC
This 459-nucleotide ribosomal RNA is filed under the name uncultured bacterium. RNAcentral describes it as "SSU rRNA". It matches the Rfam family "Bacterial small subunit ribosomal RNA", at positions 26 to 518 of the family's 1533-position model. The record is from RNAcentral.